UGGAUGAGGAGUUUGUGGAUAAGGUAGCGGAUCGUUUUGAGCAGAGUUUUAAUAGACUUGGGAAGUUUACCAAGUUAGCCUUUCAGAGGUUUUGUCCCCGUUUUCAUAAGGAGGAGAGUGUGUGCCUAUAAAACCGGGUCAGCCAUAGCCAUUAAAGGAGAGAAGACCAGACGAGAUUGAGCAAGACAGAGCUAAGAGAGCAAACAAUCCUAAGAGCCAGGACCAUUGGUGCGAAGAGAGAUUUCUUCUGCUGAGCCUCUGUUUCAGGGUUUUCAUCUGAUCAGCCUGUGUGGCCACCAUCUUGACACCUGACAUUUUAACAUGGGUAACAAUCCAUCAAGUUGGAUAUUGCUGAAACCUUGAAACCAUGCUGGAGAGAAUGGUAAUAGAAGAGGCGCUUCUCAAGGUAUUGGGCUUAAUAAAACCAUGACCCUAAAAAAUACACCACUGUUUAUGUAAAUAUUUAUUUAGAUUAAUUAAUCUGGUCAGGACCUCUGAUGGGUUUGUUUUUUUUUUCUUGAAAGAUGACUAGUCCUUGAGUGUUGAGGUUGGGAGGUCAAAUCCCGCUCAAGUUGGUUUGGCUUAUCUUAAUGGUGGCCGGGUGGUUUUAGCUUGAUUAUGUACCUGGUGAGUAAGGCACAAAGUUUUUCUCUAGGCCCUUCCAAGUUUCCUUGCUUGAGUUAGUACACAUCACUCUAGCCUUCCACCAGUGAUGUUUCCUGUUUCACCUUACCCGGGUUAGUACACACCACUGUGGCACUUCUCCAGUGAUGUAGCCUGUUUCACCUUGCCUGAGUUUUUAUACACCUUGUACACACCACUAUAUCCCUUCACCAGUGAUGUAGCCUCUUUUACCUUGCCUGAGUUUGUAUACAUCUUGUACACACCACUAUAUCCCUUCACUAGUGAUGUAGCCAGUUUCACCUUGCCUGAGUUAGUACACACCACUAUAUCCCUUCACCAGUGAGGUAGCCAGUUUCACCUUGCCUGAGUUAGUACACACCGCUAUAUCCCUUCACCAGUGAUGUAGCCAGUUUCACCUUGCCUGAGUUAGUACACACCACUAUAUCCCUUCACCCGUGAUGUAGCCAGUUUCACCUUGCCUGAGUUAGUACACACCACUAUAUCCCUUCACCAGUGAUGUAGCCAGUUUCACCUUGCCUGAGUUAGUACACACCACUAUAUCCCUUCACCAGUGAUGUAGCCAGUUUCACCUUGCCUGAGUUAGUACACACCACUAUAUCCCUUCACCAGUGAUGUAGCCAGUUUCACCUUGCCUGAGUUAGUACACACCACUAUAUCCCUUCACCAGUGAUGUAGCCAGUUUCACCUUGCCUGAGUUAGUACACACCACUAUAUCCCUUCACCAGUGAUGUAGCCAGUUUCCAGGCCAGCCAGAAAUAGAUUUAGUUGCCAAUAAACUGUCAGACUGGCAAUCUUACAUGUGGAGGCAACUGAAUGGAGUGUGCAAGGAGAUCUAAUACCUUUCUAAAUAACCUAACGGUUAAACCUUCUGACUUAAAAUUAAAGUACAACACCAGACUAGAUGUAUGCAUGCAUUGAUAAAGUAUCCCGCAUAAAGUUUCAAAAGUGUACUUUUUUUUCUCGUGAUGUCGUGUAGCCCAUAUCGCAGUUCAUAGGAAGGAAAAUUUUACCCAUUGAGAAAAUCAAAAGUGCUGGCAUGUUAGCAGUUUUAACCAAUCGGGUAGAAGUUACUUCAACCCCUGGGAGGGACUGUUUCUGCUGAUGUCAAUCAAACCCUGGUGUCCUUUCCUCUAAAGUUGCAGGAGCCUUUUGCUCAGAGUGACUGUAGGUUGAUUUUAAUUACCAUGUUAAAAACAUAUGUUGCCAUUGUAGUUAAAGACAACUUAGCCAAAGAUCGCUUUGUGCAAGGGUCCCUUCCAAAUACGCAGGAGCUUGAUCUGUACAAGAGACGUUUGACUGCAGCCAGCACUGCGAUUUUAUUCAUUUAGUUGACAAGGCCAGUGAGCACCCUGAAAUGUUCUUGAGUACCAUCAAAUGAAGAUCCCGCAUUUCAUUUUAUCCCAUGUGCAUGGUUUGAUGCGGCUUGAUGCGGAAUGUUUAGGGUCUAGUUCAGGAGGAUUAUUGCAACAAAUGUGUAAUGUUACAAAAUGUACAAGUUGCUACAAUACAUGUUUCAACAUGUUUUGCUGCAUCAUACUUGAUUUUGUUGCUACGUCAUCGCUGCCUGCCAGGAAAGAACGUAAUCUGUCAGAGGCCCAAAAUGUGACACCAAUGCCAGGCCCAGAAACUAAGGCCACUAAAAUAUAUUUGUAAAUAUCACUUUCAGAAUGCCGACCCAAGACGAUUGUGUGCCAGAAUCCUAUGCAAACCUUCUGUGAUUGCCUGGAGGCCUGUACCAACCCUGUGUACACACAGAUCAUACUGUUGUUUCAGUCUAAGGAAACUGGUAAUUUCCGACAAGGUUUGGAGUAUGUCAUACUAGGCCAACGUGAAAACGUAACCCGGCAUGACGGAACUUCUCUACAGGUUGAAGUAGCUAUGGAUCGUGUCAAUAGACGACUCUUCGGGCUGUAGGUGAAUAAUUCAGUACUUAAGAUUAUUGUAAUAUCCUGUACCUACGAUCUAAUGGACCUAAAAUCUUGCACAUUUUUCCCAGCAACCUGCAGAUGGCCAGCGGAUUUUCCCUUGCUCUGCUUGUUUUCCUCCCACCAUAAGGCUGGCCACUGUCUUAUAAGUGAAAUAUUCUUGAGUAUAGCUUGAAAUACCAAUCGAAUAAAUAAAUCAGAUCUUGUAAGCGACGCAUUUUGCUUCAUUCUGAUUGAUUCACUUUUGAAGAGCCACUUUAAGUUUUUGAUAGAAGUUUGAUCAAUUUCUUAUCAGAAAAACUGAUGCGCAUGGGCACCAAAAGUAUCAAUUUAAGAUCAUUGUGCUUCAGAAAGUGCAUUUUUGCAUACAAACCUGUGAGAAAAAAGUGUUGGCAUCAAAAGCACCAUGCUAAGACUUUUAUGUGCUCUAUAAAUGACAGACAAGUGUAAGUGAAUGCUGUUCUGUGUUUACCGUGUCUUU
Liolophura sinensis is the source of this 3051-nucleotide RNA transcript. RefSeq lists it as uncharacterized. The record is from RefSeq and is a predicted model, not a curated record. NCBI's taxonomy places the organism in Eukaryota, Metazoa, Mollusca, Polyplacophora, Chitonida, Chitonidae. The transcript is spliced from 6 exons.